GCUCAGUAACACGUAGUCAACAUGCCCAGGGGACGUGGAUAACCUCGGGAAACUGAGGAUAAACCGCGAUAGGUCAUAGUAUCUGGAAUGAUUUAUGGCUUAAAUCUAUAUGGCCCCUGGAUUGGACUGCGGCCGAUCAGGCUGUUGGUGAGGUAAUGGCCCACCAAACCUAAAACCGGUACGGGCUCUGAGAGGAGAAGCCCGGAGAUGGGCACUGAGACAAGGGCCCAGGCCCUAUGGGGCGCAGCAGGCGCGAAAACUCUGCAAUAAGCGAAAGCUUGACAGGGUUAUUCUGAGUGAUUUCCGCUAAGGAAAUCUUUUGGCACCUCUAAAAAUGGUGCAGAAUAAGGGGUGGGCAAGCCUGGUGUCAGCCGCCGCGGUAAUACCAGCACCCCGAGUGGUCGGGACGAUUAUUGGGCCUAAAGCAUCCGUAGCCGGUUCUACAAGUCUUCCGUUAAAUCCACCUGCUUAACAGAUGGGCUGCGGAGGAUACUAUAGAGCUAGGAGGCGGGAGAGGCAAGCGGUACUUAGUGGGUAGGGGUAAAAUCCGUUGAUCCAUUGAAGACCACCAGUGGCGAAGGCGGCUUGCCAGAACGCACUCGACGGUGAGGGAUGAAAGCUGGGGGAGCAAACCGGAUUAGAUACCCGGGUAGUCCCAGCUGUAAACGAUGCAGACUCGGUGAUGAAUAGGCUUCGUGCCUAUUCAGUGCCGCAGGGAAGCCGUUAAGUCUGCCGCCUGGGGAGUACGGUCGCAAGACUGAAACUUAAGGAAUUGGCGGGGGAGCACCA
This 789-nucleotide ribosomal RNA is filed under the name uncultured archaeon. RNAcentral describes it as "bacterial SSU rRNA". It matches the Rfam family "Archaeal small subunit ribosomal RNA", at positions 88 to 881 of the family's 1478-position model. The record is from RNAcentral.